Molecule: ribosomal RNA, 491 nt
Filed under: uncultured bacterium
Lineage: Bacteria
Description: bacterial SSU rRNA
Rfam family: Bacterial small subunit ribosomal RNA
Source: RNAcentral
GUAAACGAUGAGCACUAGGUGUCGGGGUCGCAAGAUCUCGGUGCCGGAGUUAACGCAUUAAGUGCUCCGCCUGGGGAGUACGCACGCAAGUGUGAAACUCAAAGGAAUUGACGGGGACCCGCACAAGCAGCGGAGCAUGUGGUUUAAUUCGAAGCAACGCGAAGAACCUUACCAGAACUUGACAUCCUCCUGACAGGCCUUUAAUCGGGCCCUUCUUCGGACAGGAGAGACAGGUGGUGCAUGGUUGUCGUCAGCUCGUGUCGUGAGAUGUUGGGUUAAGUCCCGCAACGAGCGCAACCCUUGUCAUUAGUUGCUAACAUUAAGUUGAGGACUCUAAUGAGACUGCCGGGGACAACUCGGAGGAAGGUGGGGAUGACGUCAAAUCAUCAUGCCCCUUAUGUUCUGGGCUACCCACGUGCUACAAUGGCCGGUACAACGAGAAGCGAAGUAGCAAGGCGGAGCAAACCUCAAAAACCGGUCCCAGUUCGGAU